GACGAACGCUGGCGGCGUGCUUAACACAUGCAAGUCGAACGGAAAGGCCCUGCUUUUGUGGGGUGCUCGAGUGGCGAACGGGUGAGUAACACGUGAGUAACCUGCCCUUGACUUUGGGAUAACUUCAGGAAACUGGGGCUAAUACCGGAUAGGAGCUCCUGCUGCAUGGUGGGGGUUGGAAAGUUUCGGCGGGUGGGGAUGGACUCGCGGCUUAUCAGCUUGUUGGUGGGGUAGUGGCUUACCAAGGCUUUGACGGGUAGCCGGCCUGAGAGGGUGACCGGCCACAUUGGGACUGAGAUACGGCCCAGACUCCUACGGGAGGCAGCAGUGGGGAAUAUUGCACAAUGGGCGGAAGCCUGAUGCAGCAACGCCGCGUGCGGGAUGACGGCCUUCGGGUUGUAAACCGCUUUCGCCUGUGACGAAGCGUGAGUGACGGUAAUGGGUAAAGAAGCACCGGCUAACUACGUG
RNAcentral lists this ribosomal RNA (468 nucleotides) under uncultured bacterium. RNAcentral's name for it is "partial 16S ribosomal RNA". It matches the Rfam family "Bacterial small subunit ribosomal RNA", at positions 28 to 507 of the family's 1533-position model. The record is from RNAcentral.